Tarenaya hassleriana is the source of this 962-nucleotide RNA transcript. It is a transcript of the gene named NHP2-like protein 1, with no coding region annotated. Lineage: Eukaryota; Viridiplantae; Streptophyta; Magnoliopsida; Brassicales; Cleomaceae. The transcript has 6 exons. The record is from RefSeq and is a predicted model, not a curated record.
UGCGAGUCAUCUUGUGAUUUGAGUAAAAUUCCCGAUUCCAACGGUCUCCCCAAAACCCUCGUUCUUCAGUCGGAGAUGGUGGAAGCAGUAGUAAACCCUAAGGCGUAUCCGCUUGCGGAUGCUCAGUUAACGAUAACGAUUCUUGAUCUUGUUCAACAGGCUGCUAAUUACAAGCAGCUAAAAAAGGGCGCUAAUGAAGCUACAAAGACAUUGAACCGUGGGAUCUCUGAGUUUGUGGUAAUGGCAGCUGAUGCAGAGCCCCUCGAGAUUCUCCUUCAUCUCCCCUUGCUUGCAGAGGAUAAGAACGUGCCGUAUGUGUUUGUACCGUCGAAACAAGCACUAGGAAGAGCAUGCGGUGUAACAAGACCGGUCAUUGCUUGUUCGGUUACGUCAAAUGAAGCAAGCCAGUUGAAGUCACAAAUCCAGCAGCUCAAGGAUGCCAUAGAGAAGCUUCUGAUCUAACCCUAAUGAUUGCUUUCUCCGUAUGAUGGGUCUCCUCCGACCGAUCGUGGAUGGAUGGCUUUGAGUGAAUGAAAAGCUCUGCUCAAUUCAAUUCCUCAAAUUCUGAAGGAAAAUGAUGAUGUUCUGCUUGACGAAGAUUAUGACAGCUAUGGAAGGCCUAUAGUUUCACCGAUUCAGAGCCGAAAGCAGAACCCCCAAAUCUAAUUGGAAAACAAACAAAUCUUAGCUUAAUCUGAUAGCAGAUAAUUCACCAUAAUUAAGGAAGGAAUGGAUUCAAACCUCAAUGCCAUCCACCAAAAAACUUCUACGGGAGGAUAUGUAUCUUUUAGAUUACGUUUUAUUUUGUUAUUCUUUUAGAACGUGAGCUUUUGAAACAUUUACCAUUUUAGAUAGGAUUUCAGAAUAUUAGACAGAUUUAGUUUUGGUCACAUUCUUAAUUUUUAUCCAUUGGAUCUCCUUACAUAUGGAGCCAAAUAUUUGAUUAAUAAAGCGUUGAAAGU